Molecule: long non-coding RNA, 591 nt
Filed under: Gossypium barbadense (sea-island cotton)
Lineage: Eukaryota; Viridiplantae; Streptophyta; Magnoliopsida; Malvales; Malvaceae
Description: long non-coding RNA (GBAR_LNC021304)
Source: RNAcentral
GUCCUCAAUAAUGUUAAAAUCAUUAGCCCGAAUAUAUGUACUAUCGGAUCGUCCAUCCGGUGCCAUGGUAUCGAUGGGGUGUUAAACCCUGAAAGUAAUAUAUCUCUACAUACUUGCUCUAACACCAUGGUUCUUGUACCACCACCACCUUCUUCAGUGGCCCCACCACCUCUAUUGCCACCACCACCUCCAUCACCAGUCCCAUUUUUUUCUUCCCCUGAAGAUGAUUUUCCGGUGCCUGCCCCAUUACCUGCUGAUAGUAGCCAACAUAUUUCUGGGUCUUCAAAGUUAUCAUUAGGUAGAAAAGUGUUGAAAUCAAUGGCUACCAUUUUGGUACCUCUAAUGAUUGGUGUUUCCAUUUGAAAAGUUGAUAAGUAUUUGGUGAAAUUGUUGGCAAUAGUUUUAAGAUUAAAUGUUUGAAAAUUAAUGCAUAUGUAUGUGAGCAAUAUUCUAGUAAACCUUAUUUCAAUUUAUUGUGUAUUUUUUUUUUACAAUAACUUGUACGAGUUAUCUCGAGUUAGUAGAGGAACUAAUUGAACAUAUAUAAUUAGAGCUCAAAUAAUUUGUAAUUAAGUUUCGGCUCUCCACUUA